Molecule: transfer RNA, 35 nt
Filed under: Coriandrum sativum (coriander)
Lineage: Eukaryota; Viridiplantae; Streptophyta; Magnoliopsida; Apiales; Apiaceae
Description: partial tRNA-His
Source: RNAcentral
GGCGGAUGUAGCCAAGUGGANCAAGGCAGUGAAUU